RNAcentral lists this ribosomal RNA (234 nucleotides) under uncultured bacterium. RNAcentral's name for it is "partial 16S ribosomal RNA". It matches the Rfam family "Bacterial small subunit ribosomal RNA", at positions 28 to 273 of the family's 1533-position model. The record is from RNAcentral.
GACGAACGCUGGCGGCGUGCUUAACACAUGCAAGUCACGGGGGUCCCGCAAGGGAUAACCGGCGAACGGGUGCGUAACACGUGAACAACCUGCCCUCGUGUGGGGGAUAGCCAUGCUAACGCGUGGGUAAUACCGCAUACGGUCCUUUGGGGGAGUCCCUGGGGGAAGAAAGCUCCGGCGCACGGGGAGGGGUUCGCGGCCUAUCAGCUAGUUGGGGGGUAAGUGCCACCAAGG